UACGAAGGGGGCUAGCGUUGUUCGGAAUUACUGGGCGUAAAGGGCGCGUAGGCGGUUUGUCAAGUCAGGCGUGAAAGCCCCGGGCUCAACCUGGGAACUGCGCUUGAGACUGGCAGGCUCGAGUUCGGGAGAGGAUGGUGGAAUUCCCAGUGUAGAGGUGAAAUUCGUAGAUAUUGGGAAGAACGCCGAUGGCGAAGGCAGCCAUCUGGACCGACACUGACGCUGAGGCGCGAAAGCGUGGGGAGCAAACAGG
This 253-nucleotide ribosomal RNA is filed under the name uncultured bacterium. RNAcentral's name for it is "partial 16S ribosomal RNA". It matches the Rfam family "Bacterial small subunit ribosomal RNA", at positions 524 to 776 of the family's 1533-position model. The record is from RNAcentral.